Molecule: long non-coding RNA, 3847 nt
Filed under: Anas platyrhynchos platyrhynchos (common mallard)
Lineage: Eukaryota; Metazoa; Chordata; Aves; Anseriformes; Anatidae
Description: lncRNA (ENSAPLG00000020193.1)
Source: RNAcentral
GGAAAAUCAAUGUAAAUAAGGCUCCUGUGGUUCUGCCUCUCCCUGUCAGAGCCCAGCACUUGAGUCAGAUGGACAAAAAAACUGCUCUCAGCAACUUAUUUAUUUUUUAAAACGAAUCCAGCCUACAGCAGGAUUACGUGGAUUAGCAGCUGAGCAUUCCCCUGCCUACAAAACAUGCGCAGCCAGCCAGCCAGAGACUCACUGACGGGAACCCUGUCCUCCAAACACGGCAUGUAUUUGCAUGGCUUCUUGGCUGCUCGCACCCAAGCCCAUCUGCUCAGCUGGUUCGGGGUCUGCCCACACCCCCGGGCUGCUUGGAACGAUGCCCCGGGGCAGGGGGUCCUGUGCUGUAGCUCCCUGCAGGAUGCUUCCCUUGCCAGCAGCUGGUGGGUGUCACGAAGCCUGGGGGCACUGGGGGCUGAGGGCUCUGGCAGGAGGCUCGCUGCUUCUGUGGACAACUGCUGGUGGAGCUGGUGGCAGGAUUUUGCAGACCCCUCAGGACAGGAGGGUGAAGCAUGGCCUGAAGUCAUCAGGAUGAAACCCAGGCUGGGUGUAGGGAGUAUCGGGGUGCAAAAGCACGGGUGUGGGGAAAGUGUCCCAGAAAGCACCUUGUGUGGGAGCAUCACUGGGGAAAAAGGGUGGGAACAGGUAGGAGAUCCCCCACCUGCACAGAGAAGACCCAGCUGCUGUCACAACCAGCCCCCUGAGCUGCCUGACAGGCUGGGAUGGCUCUGAGCCCCCGCAGAGCAGCACAGUGAUGGAGCUGGCAGCUCAGGACCCUCAGGAUCACAUCCCUGGGUGUGCAGCCUCCUGUCCUCCACGUGGCCCCCAGGGGCUGCAGCUCUGGGGGCACCAAGCAGGUGGUGGCAGCAGAAAAACUGCAGGGAUGACAGCUCUUUGCUGUGUCCUUGCUCUCCAUCCACCGUUGCUGCUGGGAGGAUGCUGAGCCCCAGCAAACGCUUGCAGCCCGUGGCUAAGCCAGGUCCCCUGCUCCCCGUCCCCUGUGGGAGCUGCGCAGCCUCCAGGGCUGAUCCCUGCUGCCAGCCCCGCUCCCUGCCUGUGCCUGCCCGCCUGGCUCAGGGGGAACAGCCCAGCCCCAGCCCCCGUGCCAGGGAAGCCCGCUUGGCUGAACAAGUUUUCACUGACACUUUUUUUUUAUCUAUUUAUUUAUUUAUUUUCUGCAAUGGAAGCAUGCCAGCAGAUUUGGAGCUGCUGUCGGCGGAGGGAGCCCAGCUCCCUGGGUACUCCAUUGGGGCUGCUUGGGGAGCACAGCCCCUCACCGGCACGGCUCUGCCUGCAGAGGGUCAGCUCAGCCCUGGCUGCAGCUGCUGGGGGGGUUUGGGCUCUGCCCAAGGGGCUCAGCACCGGCCUGGGCAGGCGCUGGUGACUUCCCUCCCCUCUGGCUGUGUCCUGGUGCAGGCAGCCUGGGGGCUGCGUCCCCCCAUCAACAUGGCCAGAGCCUUGCUGCUCUCCUGCCCUGCCCCUCUCUUCUUCCUAGGACCUGCCCCUGGGAUUAAACGACAACUUUCAAGAGGGAGAUGUAUGUGUGGAGCAGCACACCAGGAGCAGCACGGGCCCCUUCUGCCUUGCUCGGUGCAAGACGUGGACGUGGACAAGCCUGUGACUCACUGACUGGGGAACAGAAGGUGCUGAGCAGCUUUGUCAUUCCAGAUGCAUCAUCCCUCCUCCAAACAAGGCAGGAGCGUGUGCUAAUAAUCCGGGAUCUCGUAAUUAAAUACCCUGCAGCCUGAAUAUGUAUAAGAAGGCACAGUUACUGUUCCGAGGACUAUCUCACUUGUGACAUUUCUGUGGGUUAGAGUUGCUUUGCUUUGCAACUUCAGCGCUCACGCAGGGCUGGCUGUAUGCGGCUCGCUAUCAAUCACGGGUGUGAAAAGUCCCCCAAGCCACCAGAAAAUGGAAACAAUCUUGAAUGCUCCUGAAGUGAAAGCAGAGAGCCAUUCCCAAGACAUUCCUUCACCAGCAAAAUGGCUUUUUAAGGAAUUCAGACAGAAGAGGUAAUAAGGGAAAAGCUGUACAGGAAAAGAAAACCCCACCACCUGCAGCAACACAGCAUGAUAGGAAAAUUCAGGGUGGAAGGGACUCUGGAGGUCUGACAUGCAAGCUUCUGCUCCAAGCAGGGUCAGACCAGGCUGUUCAGGGACUUUUUUCAAGACCGGUUAGGUCUUGAAUGCCUCCAAGGACACAGACUGCACAACCUCCCUACGCAACCUGCUCCGACAUUUGACGUCCCUGUGAUGAAAACGUGUUUCCCCAUAUCCAGUCCGAACUGAUCCCAAAUCAGCUUGUGCCUGUUGCCUUUCAUCCUCCCACCCUCCCAGUGACCCCCGCUCAGGCGGUCUCGAAGCUCCCCAGAGCUUUCUGGCUGCACAAACCCACUGCCCUCCGCCUCUCCCCAAACACCCUCCAGCCCCUGGGGCUGCGUGGUGCCAGCCCCUGAACUGCCUCCAGUUUUGUGGUGCCCACCAUGACCCAACACACGUGGGGUCUCUGGGUGCAGUCUAAUGCGUGCUGUGCAGAGAGGAGCACAUCUCCUUCCCAAGCACCCUGACCGUAUGUCCUGCAUCUCCGGGCAUGGCCUCAGCCAUCCGGACAGAGCUGGGCACACGGGGAGGUGGCCUCCGAGGGCUACCCAGGGGAUCUGAGGACAAUCGGUGAAAACCCAGGCAGGAGGGGAUCAAAAUCAUCAUCUGGGGGCUCGCUGGGCAAACCAGCAACCGAAGCUGGUGCUGCAGCACCACCAUUUCCAAAGGAAGCAGCAGCCCAGGGGGAGGAUUCGUCCCCUGUGGGGCAGCAGCGAAGCCCCAGCGCCUGCCACCCCUCCCGAAGGCUCCCCGGGGAGGUGGGAGGAGGCGAUGCCGGGCAGGGUGGGGAUGCUCAGGGUGGGGAAGUCGGCUUGGCUGCAGCCUCCCCGUGGAAAGGAGAAAGUGCAGCACCGCCCUGUGCCGGGCACGGGGCCAGCGCGUCCUGCCCCGGCAGGCAGCACACCCCGUGCUGCAGGGACGCUGCUCAGCGCGCUGAGCUGCUGCCUGUCGGCCUGGGACGUCUGUGGUGGCCACGGACCCGAGCUCCAAGGAAACAUAUGGGGUGACCCCUCGGUGCUUUGGGGGAGCAGAGGACCGGUGGCGUGCACCAGCUGCGGUGGGAGUGCUCGAGGUGUCAAUGAGCAGCCUUCGGUGUGGCUUUACAGCCAGUGCUGGGCUUCUAGAAGUGGUUUUGGGGGAUGAAGUGCUCCCACCUCAACACACCAUAUCUAUCCUUAUGGAGCAGCUGUGGCAAAACCUCCCUAAACCAGUGCAAAGUGGGGUUCCUGUAAGUCUGUCCUGUGUAGGGGGAAAUGAUGGUGAUGAGGGUCUGUGCAGAGCUCACCCCGUGCCUGCAGGGUGAAACACAGGGCACUGCCAUUCUCUGUAGCCCUGUCUGGAGAUUCAAACACCACCUUCAGCAGGCAUAACCCCUUGGUGGCUUCCUCUCAGGUAUUCUCUGUGCUGAAGGCCCAAAUCUGCUGAGCUUUCCCACUGACCUCCUUCAGGCCCCUCUGUCUGUGCUGCCUGCAACGCGCAGCACAAUGGGGCUCUGGGACACCCCCUGCUCCCAGUGCCCCCAUUUCUGCGUGUACCCACCAACUGCUGGGACCGCCUGGGCGCGGGGCAGGUCCUGCUGCAUUUGGACAUCAUUUAGGUGUGAUACAGCUUGCAAGGGGGUAGUAAUUGCAUGGUGUAGAGUUCCUCCUCCGCUGUGUUGAGCAACCAUAAAUGAGGUUGCAUUGGCACCAUCAGAUGCAUUCUGUUACAAUAAAUAGGGAAAUGUGUGUUUCUGGGUCUUUUCU